This 301-nucleotide ribosomal RNA is filed under the name uncultured Mycobacterium sp. Its description in RNAcentral is "bacterial SSU rRNA". It matches the Rfam family "Bacterial small subunit ribosomal RNA", at positions 509 to 809 of the family's 1533-position model. Lineage: Bacteria; Bacillati; Actinomycetota; Actinomycetes; Mycobacteriales; Mycobacteriaceae. The record is from RNAcentral.
CAGCAGCCGCGGUAAUACGUAGGGUGCGAGCGUUGUCCGGAAUUACUGGGCGUAAAGAGCUCGUAGGUGGUUUGUCGCGUUGUUCGUGAAAUUCCCUGGCUUAACUGGGGGCGUGCGGGCGAUACGGGCAGACUGGAGUACUGCAGGGGAGACUGGAAUUCCUGGUGUAGCGGUGGAAUGCGCAGAUAUCAGGAGGAACACCGGUGGCGAAGGCGGGUCUCUGGGCAGUAACUGACGCUGAGGAGCGAAAGCGUGGGGAGCGAACAGGAUUAGAUACCCUGGUAGUCCACGCCGUAAACGG